This 468-nucleotide ribosomal RNA is filed under the name uncultured bacterium. RNAcentral's name for it is "partial 16S ribosomal RNA". It matches the Rfam family "Bacterial small subunit ribosomal RNA", at positions 28 to 507 of the family's 1533-position model. The record is from RNAcentral.
GACGAACGCUGGCGGCGUGCUUAACACAUGCAAGUCGAACGGAAAGGCCCUGCUUUUGUGGGGUGCUCGAGUGGCGUACGGGUGAGUAACACGUGAGUAACCUGCCCUUGACUUUGGGAUAACUUCAGGAAACUGGGGCUAAUACCGGAUAGGAGCUCCUGCUGCAUGGUGGGGGUUGGAAAGUUUCGGCGGUUGGGGAUGGACUCGCGGCUUAUCAGCUUGUUGGUGGGGUAGUGGCUUACCAAGGCUUUGACGGGUAGCUGGCCUGAGAGGGUGACCGGCCACAUUGGGACUGAGAUACGGCCCAGACUCCUACGGGAGGCAGCAGUGGGGAAUAUUGCACAAUGGGCGGAAGCCUGAUGCAGCAACGCCGCGUGCGGGAUGACGGCCUUCGGGUUGUAAACCGCUUUCGCCUGUGACGAAGCGUGAGUGACGGUAAUGGGUAAAGAAGCACCGGCUAACUACGUG